GGACGAACGCUGGCGGCGUGCUAACACAUGCAAGUUGAACGGGACGGAUAUUGAAGCGACUUUCGGAGUGGUGGAUAUAUUGUUUAGUAGCGGACGGGUGAGUAAUGCAUGAGAACCUGCCCUUCAGAGGGGGACAACAGUUGGAAACGGCUGCUAAUACCCCAUAUGCCGAGAGGUGAAAGGAGCGAUCCGCUGAAGGAGAGGCUCAUGUCCUAUCAGCUAGUUGGUGAGGUAAGUGCUCACCAAGGCGAUGACGGGUAGCCGGCCUGAGAGGGCGACCGGCCACACUGGAACUGAGAUACGGUCCAGACUCCUACGGGAGGCAGCAGUGGGGAAUAUUGGGCAAUGGGGCCGGAAGCCUGACCCAGCGACGCCGCGUGAGGGAAGAAGGCCUUUGGGUCGUAAACCUCUGUUGUAUGGGAAGAAGGAAGUGACGGUACCAUACGAGGAAGUCCCGGCUAACUACGUGCCAGCCGCCGC
Molecule: ribosomal RNA, 480 nt
Filed under: uncultured bacterium
Lineage: Bacteria
Description: bacterial SSU rRNA
Rfam family: Bacterial small subunit ribosomal RNA
Source: RNAcentral